GCUGCUCAGAGCCACAUCCAGCCUGGCCUUGAAUGCCUGCAGGGAUGGGGCAUCCACAGCCUCCUUGGGCAACCUGUUCCAGUGACCGAUUGUGCCGUCCUCCACUCAACUCAUUUUUAACCACAUAUCCUCGUUUUUGUGUUCUGUACAGUUGCUGUGCAUUUCAGCCAUUGGUAAGAGUUUAUGCUGAAGCUCUGAGUUUUCCCAAGAAAGCAGAGAAGAGACCAGUGUAGCAGGUGGAAGCAUGCAGUGAGUCCCAUCCUUGCUCUGCAAGAUGAACCCUUUUCUGUUUCUCCAGUUGGUUUUGUCUCAUGUGUGAUGCUGGCUAAUGGGGCCUGUGUUAAUGAGUUGAUGUCCUCAGCAGCUCCUACCACACUCUUGGGAAGGUUCCUGCAUUCAGUGCUGCCUUUGGGGAGGGCUCUUGGUGUGCAGCUCUGCCAUCCCAGCCGGUGAGUGCUAUGAAUAACAAUGCUGCUCACAGGGAGUCACUGCAAACUCACUAUCAUUUGCUUUCUGCAUUAUCAUUUUUCCAUAUGGGAAGUGGAAAAUCAUUUUGAGUGUGUAGAAGCAGAUAAGUAUUCUGGUCCUGGACAUUUUCUGAGCUUGUUUACAGAGCACCCGGGCUCCAAUCGCUAGAUCUAAUUGACCAGGAGCAGCGUGCAGCUCCACUCUGAUUAUUGUUGGAGUUAUCUGCACCGAGAGGAGCAGUGACUGCCAACAGGGGCUGACGUCCAUGCCCAUCCACUGGGGCCCUGGAUCUCCUGGCACUGCCCCAGCAGCACAUAGCUGGGGCAGAGCCCAUUGAGCAGCCCUUGGGUUGUUUUUGGAUCAUGCUGCCCUGGUGAUAGCACCUAUAGAGGUCUUUGGGGCAAUCUUCAGAUCCAUUCAAAAAAAUUAAUUCAAGAAACCAACCAAGUAAACACAGGCUUGCAAGAUCCCUGGAACCCCCCUGUCUGUGUCAUUUCAGGGAACUUUAAUUUUAGGUGUGGAAAAAGUGAAGAACUGCGACCUAUUGUACCACCUAUAAAUGAAAAGUAGGUACUAAAUAUUUUAUUUUUCCCCACUUCUCUGUUUAUUCUUCUGCCUCGCUUUUCAAUCUUCAUGCAAAGUUUGUGCAUGAGUGUGUGUGUGUGCUUUUCUCUCCAAGAGCACAUACAGUAUCGGUAACCAUGGGCAGGAUUUAAUAAUUCAAAGUAAUAUGAAACCUUGCUGGUAUGGAAAUGGGCUUGUGAUUGGCUCGAUCUGCUAGCUGGAUGGGAUGAAAAAUCUCAUUUUUGGAAAAAUAAUCAAAGAUUAUCAGCCGCAUCCAGGAAUUGUUGGGCUCUCGCAGAGUGGUCGAUUUCUUGGCACACGUGUAUUCAGUCCCCUCCACUGACACACAAAUAUAAUGCUUAUAUUCAACAUGCACCCGAAUAUCUUCACGUUGUACCCCUGUCACCUGUCUUGCUUCCUGUUUUUUGUGUUGUUUUUUCCCAAGGUACCAGUGAAAGAAUAAGGUCUUUGCAUGAAGACCAGUAACUCUGGUUACCAGUGUACAGAGGGAGAGCAUUAACAGAAAUGUUGGAAAUAACACACAGCUGUAUCAGCUCUGGUCUUUCAUCUCUUGCUCUCUUCAUCAUUUACAGAAAUGUAUUUGUCUUAAGAUAUUUAGCAUUUCGCUACCAAAAAGAAUAAGGAUUCAAGGAAUGUAGUCUAAACUACAGCACAAAGAAACAACAUAUAAAUAGGUCCACAUAUAUAUACUGUAGGCAUUAGGUACAGAUUCUCACACAUCACAGAGGAAAAAAGGUAUCUUUAGCAGAGUGAUGCCCUUCAUUUGAAAAUAUUCUGGCCAUCACCCAGUUAAGGUCCUCAGUCUCUCUGCUCUUCAUAAUGCCUUCAUAAAUACGUGUAUGAGCAUAUGUAGAUGCACAUAGAUUUAAACAAUAUAUGUACAUAUGCUAUUUUUUCUACCUCUUAUAUAAAUAUAGAUACAAAGCAUCACGAUUGGAGUUCCCAGGGGGUGCUUAUGUGGAACUUCAGAGUGAACGUGGCUGACACUUGUUCUUUGUUGCCCCUGGGCUACUGGUUUGAUCACUGACUGAAUGGAUUUAUCCGUGUCAGCGGAAGGAAUUCUUCACUCUUGUCAAUGAGGAAAUACUUGCUUUUGAAGACAUAAAAAAUAUAUAUUGGAGAGAUUCCAGCUUUGAGUGCUCGAGCAGCACACGGUGCGCCGAGGAACAAGGAGGG
Molecule: non-coding RNA, 2229 nt
Organism: Coturnix japonica (Japanese quail)
Lineage: Eukaryota; Metazoa; Chordata; Aves; Galliformes; Phasianidae
Source: RefSeq, a predicted model, not a curated record